CGAGCGGUAGAGAGAAGCUUGCUUCUCUUGAGAGCGGCGGACGGGUGAGUAAUGCCUAGGAAUCUGCCUGGUAGUGGGGGAUAACGCUCGGAAACGGACGCUAAUACCGCAUACGUCCUACGGGAGAAAGCAGGGGACCUUCGGGCCUUGCGCUAUCAGAUGAGCCUAGGUCGGAUUAGCUAGUUGGUGAGGUAAUGGCUCACCAAGGCGACGAUCCGUAACUGGUCUGAGAGGAUGAUCAGUCACACUGGAACUGAGACACGGUCCAGACUCCUACGGGAGGCAGCAGUGGGGAAUAUUGGACAAUGGGCGAAAGCCUGAUCCAGCCAUGCCGCGUGUGUGAAGAAGGUCUUCGGAUUGUAAAGCACUUUAAGUUGGGAGGAAGGGCAGUAAAUUAAUACUUUGCUGUUUUGACGUUACCGACAGAAUAAGCACCGGCUAACUCUGUGCCAGCAGCCGCGGUAAUACAGAGGGUGCAAGCGUUAAUCGGAAUUACUGGGCGUAAAGCGCGCGUAGGUGGUUCGUUAAGUUGGAUGUGAAAUCCCCGGGCUCAACCUGGGAACUGCAUUCAAAACUGUCGAGCUAGAGUAUGGUAGA
Molecule: ribosomal RNA, 597 nt
Filed under: Pseudomonas sp. s1(2015b)
Lineage: Bacteria; Pseudomonadati; Pseudomonadota; Gammaproteobacteria; Pseudomonadales; Pseudomonadaceae
Description: bacterial SSU rRNA
Rfam family: Bacterial small subunit ribosomal RNA
Source: RNAcentral